UUCAAAAAUCAACGUUCGUUUUCGAUGUCAUGGUCAUGGUGAAGCAGAGGAGAUUCCGAGUGUGAAAAACAGGAAACACGACCAGUCUCCUGUCUGACUUGAUGGAUAGUUAAAUAAACUUCGGUUAGCAUUCGCCAACCUUGUUAUCCGGAGGUAACAGAAAUGUUUCCAGAACGAGGUUCGAACGUAUGCCAACCAUAAACACUACCAAAGAAUACCUUUAGCCGUCGCUAAUUCGUCAUGCAGAACUAUAUACACCGUUUCCACGAUUCACGAGUUGGAAAUUGAAACGCCAUCUAAUUGUUUCGGUAAACAAAAUAAGGAGUCCAGUAUUGUAUGCCUCAGUACAGCAUCAAAUUGCUCCAUCCAAUUAUCCACAGCAUUAUGGUGGUGAUGGGUAAUGGGUAGCAUCAGCUCGAUCAACGUUUCUUGUACUGUAGAUGCAUGCCAUCCCACAAGCUGUUGCACGGAAUCUAAUAUUUGGCACACUCACCACUUCGACUGUGAUCAUAUUAUGACAAUACUGCUGAUUGUUGGUUGGCUGAUUAUAAUGCUACUGUUCCUGUUCAGCUUUUGCUAAUUGGAAUAAGGAAGGUACUUCGAGCGUAUAAAACUCCGUUCGAUUACCCGACGACGCUUCUACCCGGUUUUUCAUAGUUACUGGAACGGACCACUUCAUGGGCCCUAUUCUCACAGUCACGUCACCUAGUGACUAGAAGGAAAUUUUGUUCUAGUCACUAGGCGACGUGACUGUGAGAAUGGGGCCCCAUAUCUAUCCCAACGAGUAUCGCACUGUAACAAAUGCUGCAAAUUUGCAGCAGGAUCGAGUGUACAGAAGACGGGAGGCCACAAGCGUAAUUUUUGCUGUGGGUGCACGAAAUUACAGGAGGCACAAAUCUCAGGAGAUUGUUGGGAAUGUACCGUUUGCACAAUACCCUGAUUUGUGCUGAUACUUUCUGACGUUAAUUCUGCUGGUUAUCUGGUGUGAAGCCAUUACACUGAAGGGAUUGUAUCGGAACAAGCAUUUCUCCAGUGGAUGUACAUUGUGAUAUUUCUCACCAAUCAGAAUUUUUUUAUACUCGUCAGCUUGGAAAAGUGUGCUUACAUAUUGUGACGCUCCAGAUUGUCCAAGCGAAAAUGUAAAAUGAUAGCACAGAAUUGAAAUUACUACAUCUUUACAUUGUAUAAACUUUAACCCUCCGGCACUCGCGCCAUUGUAUUUUGUGCAACACCUUCAGAAAAUCUAGCGAAAUCUUUCAGCACCAGUGGCUGCUCAUUCAGGGAGCCAUUCGCGCGAGUGCCGGAGUGUUAAGAAAUAACUACUGUAAUAUAUU
Molecule: long non-coding RNA, 1334 nt
Organism: Topomyia yanbarensis
Lineage: Eukaryota; Metazoa; Arthropoda; Insecta; Diptera; Culicidae
Exons: 3
Source: RefSeq, a predicted model, not a curated record